UCUGCUUUUCUUGACAGUACUUGCCUGUAAACUAAUCUUUAUGGUUCUUGGGCAAUGAGAAGAUGGUAAGCAGAAAGCAGAUAUUCCUCUCGCUAUCCAGCGCAGAAUUUCUUGUUAUGUGAUUGGACGUUGAGGAACUAAAUUG
Molecule: non-coding RNA, 145 nt
Organism: Hordeum vulgare subsp. vulgare (domesticated barley)
Lineage: Eukaryota; Viridiplantae; Streptophyta; Magnoliopsida; Poales; Poaceae
Source: Rfam